GAUGAAGAACGUAGCGAAAUGCGAUAAGUAAUGUGAAUUGCAGAAUUCCGUGAAUCAUCGAAUCUUUGAACGCAUAUUGCGCCCUCCGGUAUUCCGGGGGGCAUGCCUGUCCGAGCGUCAUUGCAACCCUCAAGCGCGGCUUGUGUGUUGGGCCUUCGUCCCCCGUGGACGGGCCCAAAAGGCAGUGGCGGUGCCGCGGUCCGGUGCCCGAGCGUAGUAAUUCUUCUCGCUCUGGAGGUCCGGUCGUGUGCUCGCCAGCAACCCCCAAUUUUUUUCAGGUUGACCUCGGAUCAGGUAGGGAUACCCGCUGAACUUAAGCAUAUCAAUAAGCGGAGGA
Molecule: unclassified non-coding RNA, 337 nt
Filed under: soil metagenome
Description: partial contains 5.8S ribosomal RNA, internal transcribed spacer 2, and large subunit ribosomal RNA
Rfam family: 5.8S ribosomal RNA (bases 1-120)
Source: RNAcentral